RNAcentral lists this ribosomal RNA (323 nucleotides) under Euglypha sp. (in: cercozoans). RNAcentral describes it as "SSU rRNA". The stretch from base 111 to 323 matches the Rfam family "Eukaryotic small subunit ribosomal RNA", at positions 741 to 955 of the family's 1831-position model. Lineage: Eukaryota; Cercozoa; Imbricatea; Euglyphida; Euglyphidae. The record is from RNAcentral.
GAUUUCUGACGAACCGGAGUGGCCCGUUUCCUUUCCGGGAAUGAGUGCCGCUUUGAGUUUGUCAUCCAUCCAGAGAGCUGCGUCUACCGUUUACUCGGCCGGACGUAUCGAUCUGGAUCUAUUACUUUGAAAAAAUUAGAGUGUUUAAAGCAGGCUUAUGCUCUGAAUACAUUAGCAUGGAAUAAUAAUCUAGGACUUUGGUUCUAUUUUGUUGGUUUCUAGGACUGAAGUAAUGAUUGAUAGGGAUAGUUGGGGGUGCUAGUAUUCCGCGGCCAGAGGUGAAAUUCUUGGAUUCGGUCAAGCCUAACUUAUGCGAAAGCAUU